RNAcentral lists this ribosomal RNA (477 nucleotides) under Streptococcus sp. oral taxon 070. RNAcentral describes it as "bacterial SSU rRNA". It matches the Rfam family "Bacterial small subunit ribosomal RNA", at positions 28 to 487 of the family's 1533-position model. The record is from RNAcentral. Lineage: Bacteria; Bacillati; Bacillota; Bacilli; Lactobacillales; Streptococcaceae.
GACGAACGCUGGCGGCGUGCCUAAUACAUGCAAGUAGAACGCUGAAGCUUGGUGCUUGCACCGAGCGGAUGAGUUGCGAACGGGUGAGUAACGCGUAGGUAACCUGCCUGGUAGCGGGGGAUAACUAUUGGAAACGAUAGCUAAUACCGCAUAAAAUGGAUUAUCGCAUGAUAAUCCAUUGAAAGGUGCAAAUGCAUCACUACCAGAUGGACCUGCGUUGUAUUAGCUAGUUGGUGGGGUAACGGCUCACCAAGGCGACGAUACAUAGCCGACCUGAGAGGGUGAUCGGCCACACUGGGGCUGAGACACGGCCCAGACUCCUACGGGAGGCAGCAGUAGGGAAUCUUCGGCAAUGGACGGAAGUCUGACCGAGCAACGCCGCGUGAGUGGAGAAGGUUUUCGGAUCGUAAAGCUCUGUUGUAAGAGAAGAACGAGUGUGAGAGUGGAAAGUUCACACUGUGACGGUAUCUUACCAGA